RNAcentral lists this non-coding RNA (52 nucleotides) under Elusimicrobiota bacterium. RNAcentral describes it as "Elusimicrobia bacterium Li+-I sequence". It matches the Rfam family "nhaA-I RNA". Rfam says of the family: Acidobacteria, Alphaproteobacteria, Betaproteobacteria and Gammaproteobacteria, Verrucomicrobia, cand. division NC10. Downstream gene The record is from RNAcentral. Lineage: Bacteria; Pseudomonadati; Elusimicrobiota.
GGGUCCGGGGGGCUUCAUCCUACCGGAGGAUAGAGUGGUCGGGCCGCCACUC